Molecule: ribosomal RNA, 497 nt
Filed under: uncultured bacterium
Lineage: Bacteria
Description: partial 16S ribosomal RNA
Rfam family: Bacterial small subunit ribosomal RNA
Source: RNAcentral
GACGAACGCUGGCGGCGUGCCUAAUACAUGCAAGUUGAGCGAUGAAGAUUGGUGCUUGCACCAAUUUGAAGAGCAGCGAACGGGUGAGUAACGCGUGGGGAAUCUGCCUUUGAGCGGGGGACAACAUUUGGAAACGAGUGCUAAUACCGCAUAAUAACUUUAAACAUAAGUUUUAAGUUUGAAAGAUGCAAUUGCAUCACUCAAAGAUGAUCCCGCGUUGUAUUAGCUAGUUGGUGAGGUAAAGGCUCACCAAGGCGAUGAUACAUAGCCGACCUGAGAGGGUGAUCGGCCACAUUGGGACUGAGACACGGCCCAAACUCCUACGGGAGGCAGCAGUAGGGAAUCUUCGGCAAUGGACGAAAGUCUGACCGAGCAACGCCGCGUGAGUGAAGAAGGUUUUCGGAUCGUAAAACUCUGUUGGUAGAGAAGAACGUUGGUGAGAGUGGAAAGCUCAUCAAGUGACGGUAACUACCCAGAAAGGGACGGCUAACUACGUG